This 253-nucleotide ribosomal RNA is filed under the name uncultured bacterium. RNAcentral describes it as "partial 16S ribosomal RNA". It matches the Rfam family "Bacterial small subunit ribosomal RNA", at positions 524 to 776 of the family's 1533-position model. The record is from RNAcentral.
UACGAAGGGUGCAAGCGUUACUCGGAAUUACUGGGCGUAAAGCGUGCGUAGGUGGUUCGUUAAGUCUGAUGUGAAAGCCCUGGGCUCAACCUGGGAAUGGCAUUGGAUACUGGCGACCUAGAGUGCGGUAGAGGGGUGUGGAAUUCCCGGUGUAGCAGUGAAAUGCGUAGAUAUCGGGAGGAACAUCUGUGGCGAAGGCGGUUUCCUGGCCGAGUACUGACGCUGAGGCACGAAAGCGUGGGGAGCGAACGGG